UACGGAGGGUGCAAGCGUUAUCCGGAUUUACUGGGUUUAAAGGGUGCGCAGGCGGAUAUGUAAGUCAGUGGUGAAAUCUUUGGGCUUAACCCGAAAAUUGCCGUUGAUACUAUAUAUCUUGAAUGCUGUGGAGGUAAGCGGAAUAUGUCAUGUAGCGGUGAAAUGCUUAGAGAUGACAUAGAACACCUAUUGCGAAGGCAGCUAACUACGCGAAUAUUGACGCUGAGGCACGAAAGCGUGGGGAUCAAACAGG
RNAcentral lists this ribosomal RNA (253 nucleotides) under uncultured prokaryote. RNAcentral's name for it is "partial 16S ribosomal RNA". It matches the Rfam family "Bacterial small subunit ribosomal RNA", at positions 524 to 776 of the family's 1533-position model. The record is from RNAcentral.